GUGUGACUCGUCACACUAUCAUUAACUGAAUCCAUAGGUUAAUGAGGCGAACCGGGGGAACUGAAACAUCUAAGUACCCCGAGGAAAAGAAAUCAACCGAGAUUCCCCCAGUAGCGGCGAGCGAACGGGGAGGAGCCCAGAGCCUGAAUCAGCAUGUGUGUUAGUGGAAGCGUCUGGAAAGGCGCGCGAUACAGGGUGACAGCCCCGUACACAAAAGCGCAUGUGCUGUGAGCUCGAUGAGUAGGGCGGGACACGUGGUAUCCUGUCUGAAUAUGGGGGGACCAUCCUCCAAGGCUAAAUACUCCUGACUGACCGAUAGUGAACCAGUACCGUGAGGGAAAGGCGAAAAGAACCCCGGCGAGGGGAGUGAAAAAGAACCUGAAACCGUGUACGUACAAGCAGUGGGAGCACCCUUUGGGUGUGACUGCGUACCUUUUGUAUAAUGGGUCAGCGACUUAUAUUCUGUAGCAAGGUUAACCGAAUAGGGGAGCCGGAGGGAAACCGAGUCUUAACCGGGCGUUAAGUUGCAGGGUAUAGACCCGAAACCCGGUGAUCUAGCCAUGGGCAGGUUGAAGGUUGGGUAACACUAACUGGAGGACCGAACCGACUAAUGUUGAAAAAUUAGCGGAUGACCUGUGGCUGGGGGUGAAAGGCCAAUCAAACCGGGAGAUAGCUGGUUCUCCCCGAAAGCUAUUUAGGUAGCGCCUCGUGAAUUCAUCUCCGGGGGUAGAGCACUGUUUCGGCUAGGGGGCCAUCCCGGCUUACCAACCCGAUGCAAACUGCGAAUACCGGAGAAUGUUAUCACGGGAGACACACGGCGGGUGCUAACGUCCGUCGUGAAGAGGGAAACAACCCAGACCGCCAGCUAAGGUCCCAAAGUCAUGGUUAAGUGGGAAACGAUGUGGGAAGGCCCAGACAGCCAGGAUGUUGGCUUAGAAGCAGCCAUCAUUUAAAGAAAGCGUAAUAGCUCACUGGUCGAGUCGGCCUGCGCGGAAGAUGUAACGGGGCUAAACCAUGCACCGAAGCUGCGGCAGCGACACUGUGUGUUGUUGGGUA
Molecule: ribosomal RNA, 1056 nt
Filed under: Salmonella enterica subsp. enterica serovar Enteritidis
Lineage: Bacteria; Pseudomonadati; Pseudomonadota; Gammaproteobacteria; Enterobacterales; Enterobacteriaceae
Description: partial 23S ribosomal RNA
Rfam family: Bacterial large subunit ribosomal RNA
Source: RNAcentral